RNAcentral lists this ribosomal RNA (460 nucleotides) under uncultured bacterium. RNAcentral describes it as "partial 16S ribosomal RNA". It matches the Rfam family "Bacterial small subunit ribosomal RNA", at positions 338 to 795 of the family's 1533-position model. The record is from RNAcentral.
CCUACGGGUGGCAGCAGUGAGGAAUAUUGGUCAAUGGGCGGGAGCCUGAACCAGCCAAGUCGCGUGAGGGAAGACGGUCCUACGGAUUGUAAACCUCUUUUGCCGGGGAGCAACGGGGUCCUUGCGAGGGCCCGAUGAGAGUACCCGGAGAAAAAGCAUCGGCUAACUCCGUGCCAGCAGCCGCGGUAAUACGGAGGAUGCGAGCGUUAUCCGGAUUUAUUGGGUUUAAAGGGUGCGUAGGCGGAAGGUUAAGUCAGCGGUCAAAUGUCGGUGCUCAACACCGGCCUGCCGUUGAAACUGGUCUUCUUGAGUGAGCGAGAAGUAUGCGGAAUGCGUGGUGUAGCGGUGAAAUGCAUAGAUAUCACGCAGAACUCCGAUUGCGAAGGCAGCAUACCGGCGCUCAACUGACGCUGAGGCACGAAAGCGUGGGGAUCGAACAGGAUUAGAUACCCUGGUAGUC